GACGUAGGGCGCGAGCGUUGUCCGGAUUUAUUGGGCGUAAAGAGCUCGUAGGCGGCUUGUCGCGUCGUCUGUGAAAUCCCGCGGCUCAACUGCGGGCUGGCAGUCGAUACGGGCAGGCUGGAGUUCGGUAGGGGAGACUGGAAUUCCUGGUGUAGCGGUGAAAUGCGCAGAUAUCUGGAGGAAUACCGGUGGCGAAGGCGGCAUCCUGGACCGGCAUUGACGCUGAGGAGCGAAAGCUAGGGGAGCAAACGGG
This 253-nucleotide ribosomal RNA is filed under the name uncultured bacterium. RNAcentral's name for it is "partial 16S ribosomal RNA". It matches the Rfam family "Bacterial small subunit ribosomal RNA", at positions 524 to 776 of the family's 1533-position model. The record is from RNAcentral.